UACGUAGGGUCCGAGCGUUGUCCGGAGUUACUGGGCGUAAAGGGCGCGCAGGCGGCGGUGCUGGCCCGGCGUGAAAGCCCCCGGCUCAACCGGGGAGGGUCGUCGGGGACCGCACCGCUUGAGGGCGGUAGGGGCUGGUGGAAUGCCUGGUGUAGUGGUGAAAUGCGUAGAGAUCAGGCAGAACACCCGUGGCGAAGGCGGCCAGCUGGGCCGUCCCUGACGCUGAGGCGCGAAGGCGUGGGGAGCGAACGGG
Molecule: ribosomal RNA, 253 nt
Filed under: uncultured bacterium
Lineage: Bacteria
Description: partial 16S ribosomal RNA
Rfam family: Bacterial small subunit ribosomal RNA
Source: RNAcentral